ACCUGCGGAAGGAUCAUUACAAGUGAGGCCGCCGAACACCGGUCAAAUGGUGGGCAGGCGGUUUACACCCACCCGUGUCUACAUACUCUUGUUGCUUUGGCGGGCCGUGGCCUCCACUGCGGGCUCUGCUCGUGUGUGCCCGCCGGAGGACCAAACUCUGAAUGUUAGUGAUGUCUGAGUACUAUUUAAUAGUUAAAACUUUCAACAACGGAUCUCUUGGUUCUGGCAUCGAUGAAGAACGCAGCGAAAUGCGAUAAGUAAUGUGAAUUGCAGAAUUCAGUGAAUCAUCGAAUCUUUGAACGCACAUUGCGCCCUGUGGUAUUCCGUAGGGCAUGCCUGUUCGAGCGUCAUUUAACCACUCACGCCUGGCGUGGUAUUGGGGCACGCGGUCUCGCGGUCCUUAAAAGCAGUGGCGGCGCCGGUGGGCUCUAAGCGUAGUACAUACUCCCGCUAUAGAGUUUCCUCCGGUGGCUCGCCAGAACCCCCAAAUUUUUACCGGUUGACCUCGGAUCAGGUAGGGAUACCCGCUGAACUUAAGCAUAUCAAUA
RNAcentral lists this ribosomal RNA (548 nucleotides) under Phialocephala sp. M4. Its description in RNAcentral is "eukaryotic LSU rRNA". The stretch from base 197 to 350 matches the Rfam family "5.8S ribosomal RNA". The record is from RNAcentral. Lineage: Eukaryota; Fungi; Ascomycota; Leotiomycetes; Helotiales; Mollisiaceae.